RNAcentral lists this long non-coding RNA (212 nucleotides) under Gouania willdenowi (blunt-snouted clingfish). Its description in RNAcentral is "lncRNA (ENSGWIG00000009663.1)". The record is from RNAcentral. Lineage: Eukaryota; Metazoa; Chordata; Actinopteri; Blenniiformes; Gobiesocidae.
UACAGUGCUUCAGAUCAGCUUUACUGUGUCUCACUUUGAGACGGUGAUGUUGUGUCGCCACCAAUCCCAUCCUAAAUGUCACCGUGUGAGCUGCAAAAAGGCGUCUUUCACAGCGAACAGCUCAUCAGGAUUACUAACACAAAGAUUACGCUCUCCUUGACGCAGCUUGUGUGACUCUCCAGGAUUCUCUGGGUUCUGUUUCCUGUCCUGAC